RNAcentral lists this long non-coding RNA (338 nucleotides) under Bos taurus (domestic cattle). RNAcentral's name for it is "long non-coding RNA NONBTAT023825". Lineage: Eukaryota; Metazoa; Chordata; Mammalia; Artiodactyla; Bovidae. The record is from RNAcentral.
AAAGUUCUUCCUUAUUUUUUUCUACCAGAAAACUAAAUAUAUGUUAGAUUUUAUUUAGGGUACUUUUAUGGCCACCUGAUUUGCUGGACUUUCUGUCUUUAGUUGAAGAGACAAUGCAACUUCUACUUUUCCUGGAUAUUUUCCCUCAUCCAUCAACCACUUGGGUAGCUUUGUUCCUAAGUAAUACUUAUUUUUCCACUGUUGGUAUAAUGCCAUAUAUCUGAUUUAAAACUAUAUUCAGUAAAUUUUUAUCAACACUUGAAAUGUGAGGUGGUGUAAUAUGAUUGAGAAUUCUGGAGACACUUCCUCUGAUAGCCUUGAACCUUUUUUGUCCUGUG